UACGGAGGGUGCUAGCGUUGUUCGGAAUUACUGGGCGUAAAGCGCACGUAGGCGGACGUUUAAGUCAGGGGUGAAAUCCCGAGGCUCAACCUCGGAACUGCCUUUGAUACUGCAAGGCUCGAGUCCGGAAGAGGUGAGUGGAAUUCCUAGUGUAGAGGUGAAAUGCGUAGAUAUUAGGAAGAACACCAGUGGCGAAGGCGGCUCACUGGUCCGGUACUGACGCUGAGGUGCGAAAGCGUGGGGAGCAAACAGG
RNAcentral lists this ribosomal RNA (253 nucleotides) under uncultured bacterium. Its description in RNAcentral is "partial 16S ribosomal RNA". It matches the Rfam family "Bacterial small subunit ribosomal RNA", at positions 524 to 776 of the family's 1533-position model. The record is from RNAcentral.